Molecule: ribosomal RNA, 253 nt
Filed under: uncultured bacterium
Lineage: Bacteria
Description: partial 16S ribosomal RNA
Rfam family: Bacterial small subunit ribosomal RNA
Source: RNAcentral
GACGGAGGGGGCUAGCGUUGUUCGGAAUCACUGGGCGUAAAGGGCGCGUAGGCGGCUUUGCAAGUCAGAUGUGAAAUCCCGGGGCUUAACCCCGGAGCUGCAUUUGAAACUGCAUGGCUAGAGUCUCGGAGAGGAUGGUGGAAUUCUGAGUGUAGAGGUGAAAUUCGUAGAUAUUCAGAGGAACACCGAUGGCGAAGGCAGCCAUCUGGACGAGUACUGACGCUGAGGCGCGAAAGCGUGGGGAGCAAACAGG